GGUUUCUCCCCUUUUUGUAGGGUUUCCACUCUUUUUGUAGGGUUUCCCCUCUUUUUGUAGGGUUUCCCCUCUUUUUGUAGGGUUUUCGCUCUUUUUGUAGGGUUUCCACUCUUUUUGUAGGGUUUCUGCUUUUUUUGUAGGGUUUCUGCUCUUUUUGUAGGGUUUCCACUCUUUUUAAAGGGUUUUCACUCUUUUUGUAGGGAUUCCACUCUUUUUAAAGGGUUUCUCCCCUUUUUGUAGGGUUUCCACUCUUUUUAAAGGGUUUUCACUCUUUUUGUAGGGUUCCCACUCUUUUUAAAGGGUUUUCGCUCUUUUUGUAGGGUUUUCGCUCUUUUUGUAGGGUUUCCCCUCUUUUUGUAGGGUUUCCACUCUUUUUAAAGGGUUUCUCCCCUUUUUGAAGGGUUUCCGCUCUUUUUGUAGGGUUUCCACUCUUUUUAAAGGGUUUCUCCCCUUUUUGAAGGGUUUCUGCUCUUUUUGAAGGGUUUCUGCUCUUUUCCCUUUUUUUUUAGGGUAACGAAGCAGAGGGCAUUUUUUGGGGCUUUUCACAUAAGUGCCCAACACCCAGCCCUGGGUACAGUGGGACCGGGUUCCUCACGGGACCCAAACCCCAAAUCCCCCUCUAAUCCUAAUCCUAGCCCUAAUCCUGAGCAAGGAGUUCCCAAACCCGAUGGUUCCGGGGUUAAAACCCCAAUGCCCUGCAGUGGGGACGCCGCAUCCCAGUGCCACGGUCAUAAAAACGCUGCUUAUGGGGCCGCUGGGGUCCUCUGCCCUUUAUGGGGUCACUGGGGUUGUCUGCUCUUUAUGGGGUUUUUGGGGUCCUCUGCUCCCUAUGGGGUCCUCAGGGUCCUCUGCUCUUUAUGGGGCCAUUGGGGUUCUCUGCCCCUUAUGGGUUCCUUGGGGUCCUCUUCUCCUUAUAGGGUCCUUGGGGUUCUCUGCCCCUUUAUGGGGCCGUCAGGGUUCUUUGCUCCCUAUGGGGUUCUUGGGGUUCUUGGCUCCUUAUGGGGCCUUUGGGGGUCCUCUGCCCCUUAUGGGGUCCUUGGGGUCCUCUGCCCUUUAUGGGGUCCUUUGCUUCUUAUGGGGCCAUUGGGGUCCUCUGCUCUUCAUGGGGCUGUCGGGGGUUCUCUUCUCCUUAUAAGGUCCUUGGGGUUCUCUGCCCCUUUAUGGGGUCCUUGGGGUUCUCUGCCCCUUAUAGGGUCAAUGGGGUUCUCUGCUCUUUAUAGGAUCCUUGGGGUUCUCUACCCCUUUAUGGGGCCGUUGGGGGUCCUCUGCUCUCUAUGGGGUCCUUGGGGUCCUCUUCUCCUUAUAGGGUCCUUGGGGUUCUCUGCCCCUUUACGGGGCCGUCAGGGUUCUUUGCUCCCUAUGGGGUUCUUGGGGUUCUUGGGGUUCUUGGCUCCUUAUGGGGCCUUUGGGGGUCCUCUGCCCCUUAUAGGGUCCUUGGGGUUCUCUGCCCCUUAUGGGGCCACUGGGGUUCUCUGCCCCUUUUAUGGGGUCCUUGGGGUCCUCUGCCCUUUAUGGGGUCCUUCGCUUCUUAUGGGGCCAUUGGGGUCCUCUGCUCUUCAUGAGGUUGUUGGGGGCUCUCUGCUCUUUAUGGGGUCCUUG
This 1599-nucleotide long non-coding RNA is filed under the name Anas platyrhynchos platyrhynchos (common mallard). RNAcentral describes it as "lncRNA (ENSAPLG00000024817.1)". Lineage: Eukaryota; Metazoa; Chordata; Aves; Anseriformes; Anatidae. The record is from RNAcentral.